AUCAUGGCUCAGGACGAACGCUGGCGGCGUGCCUAAUACAUGCAAGUAGAACGCUGAAGGAGGAGCUUGCUUCUCUGGAUGAGUUGCGAACGGGUGAGUAACGCGUAGGUAACCUGCCUGGUAGCGGGGGGAGUAACUAUUGGAAACGAUAGCUAAUACCGCAUAAGAGUAGAUAUUGCAUGAUAUUUACUUAAAAGGUAGCAAAUAGCAUCACUACCAGAUGG
This 224-nucleotide ribosomal RNA is filed under the name uncultured bacterium. Its description in RNAcentral is "partial 16S ribosomal RNA". It matches the Rfam family "Bacterial small subunit ribosomal RNA", at positions 16 to 228 of the family's 1533-position model. The record is from RNAcentral.